GCACUGCUGGAGAGUCCUAAACAGGACGAAACAGCUUUCCAGUGC
RNAcentral lists this non-coding RNA (45 nucleotides) under Echinostoma caproni. The record is from RNAcentral. Lineage: Eukaryota; Metazoa; Platyhelminthes; Trematoda; Plagiorchiida; Echinostomatidae.